Molecule: ribosomal RNA, 471 nt
Filed under: uncultured beta proteobacterium
Lineage: Bacteria; Pseudomonadati; Pseudomonadota; Betaproteobacteria
Description: bacterial SSU rRNA
Rfam family: Bacterial small subunit ribosomal RNA
Source: RNAcentral
GGCGGACGGGUGAGUAAUGCUUGGGAACUUGCCUUUGCGAGGGGGAUAACAGUUGGAAACGACUGCUAAUACCGCAUAAUGUCUUCGGACCAAACGGGGCUUAGGCUCCGGCGCAAAGAGAGGCCCAAGUGAGAUUAGCUAGUUGGUGGGGUAAAGGCUCACCAAGCCGACGAUCUAUAGCUGGUCUGAGAGGACGAUCAGCCACACUGGGACUGAGACACGGCCCAGACUCCUACGGGAGGCAGCAGUGGGGAAUUUUGGACAAUGGGCGAAAGCCUGAUCCAGCAAUACCGCGUGCAGGAAGAAGGCCCUCGGGUUGUAAACUGCUUUUGUACGGAACGAAAAGGUCCUGGCUAAUAUCUGGGGCUGAUGACGGUACCGUAAGAAUAAGCACCGGCUAACUACGUGCCAGCAGCCGCGGUAAUACGUAGGGUGCAAGCGUUAAUCGGAAUUACUGGGCGUAAAGCGUGC